UACGGAGGAUGCGAGCGUUAUCCGGAUUUAUUGGGUUUAAAGGGUGCGUAGGCGGUCCGGAAAGUCAGCGGUAAAAGCCCGGGGCUCAACCCCGGCGAGCCGUUGAAACUGUCGGACUAGAGACGGCGAGAAGUACGCGGAAUGCGCGGUGUAGCGGUGAAAUGCAUAGAUAUCGCGCAGAACUCCGAUUGCGAAGGUAGCGUACCGGCGCCGGACUGACGCUGAGGCACGAAAGCGUGGGUAUCGAACAGG
RNAcentral lists this ribosomal RNA (252 nucleotides) under uncultured bacterium. RNAcentral's name for it is "partial 16S ribosomal RNA". It matches the Rfam family "Bacterial small subunit ribosomal RNA", at positions 524 to 776 of the family's 1533-position model. The record is from RNAcentral.